Molecule: long non-coding RNA, 711 nt
Organism: Pyrus x bretschneideri (Chinese white pear)
Lineage: Eukaryota; Viridiplantae; Streptophyta; Magnoliopsida; Rosales; Rosaceae
Exons: 3
Source: RefSeq, a predicted model, not a curated record
UAUUAAACUAAUUUGUGGACCCUAAUUUCUACGAGAGCAUCUCAUUAUCGUGGAAAAAAAUAACAUAAUAAAUCAUAAAAUUAAAGAGGAGGGCUUGGUCAUAACUAUAUUUGAUAAUUAAUUCAUAACUCUUUAAUUUACAUGAACAACCUUUACGUUUCUGCUAAAUAUUAAUCGGUGUUGGACCUCUUAUUACACGUAACAUGUGAUAUUCUUUUUGUUUGCUAAAAAGAAAGUGAUUCAUUAUAUAUAUGCAUGUUGUGUGUGAGUUAGCACAGAGCUAAUUGGUGAAUCUACAAAGAAGAGCAUUUAUAUACCUGCUGCUUGAUGUGGAAUUUUGCUUUUGUUUUUAGCAAUAACAUGUACAAUCUUGGAUUCUAUUGCAACGAAAGCAGAUCAAGUUUCAGAGUGAAAUUUAUAAUUGUAGUUUUAUUGGUGUGAAUUAUCCUGCACACACACCAUGAUAUCUUUGCUCAUGAGUAAUCUGCAGGGUCCUUUGGUCCAAAAGAGUUUCAGCAGCUAGGCAGUGCAACAGUCGUUGAGUACUUCCAUGUGCCUCCUUAUGCUGGGAUUUUGUUAGACCGGUAUCCCAGGAAGAAGUUGUCAAGUUAAGUGAACAAUUGAGUUAUUUGAAAAGUUUGAUCCACGGGCAUUUGGGCAAUGGUGGGUUUGCAGACCAGGUAAAUGGAGAAAACAUGCUGAGUUCGAACA